Molecule: long non-coding RNA, 1152 nt
Organism: Chinchilla lanigera (long-tailed chinchilla)
Lineage: Eukaryota; Metazoa; Chordata; Mammalia; Rodentia; Chinchillidae
Exons: 4
Source: RefSeq, a predicted model, not a curated record
AGUAUUGUACUUCAGAGCGGGAAGGGGUUCUGAGCCCCUGAUCAGAGGAGUGCUGAUGUUGAGGAGCAGGGUAGCUUUCUAGGGUAGGGAUGUGCAACUGUGGGAGAAUCACAUUGGGGGGACUUUGAGAGGCUGGCUGGGGCCACAUCUCCCAGUAAUCACACAAGACCAGAGGGGGAGAUUUGAUUUUGUUCUAAGUGCAAUGGGAAGCCACUGGAAGGUUGGAGGAGGGUUAUGACACAAUUUGAUUUAUGGCUUGGAAAGAUCCAGUUGGUUGAAUGGAAAGGAGAGGACAAGACUGGAAGCCAGGGAUACUGAAGCUGCUGCUGUCAUCAUCUUGGGAGAGAUAUGGGAAUGCAGAAAGAGGGGGUAAGUUCUGGAGGAGGGCAGGCAGGGAAGUACGGAAAAGGAGAAUUCAGGAUGGCUCCCGAUGCUGAAAGGCCACUGCCAUGGGCCCUGACUACCAUGCGGGGGAGGGUCGCUGCCCUCCUCCCAAACAAUGCCCAUUGUGACCUACACUGCACUCCCAUGUGCUCUUCAAGCCGCGCUCUAAUGCCAGUCUAUACCACAAGGGCAGGGAGACCUCUACGGGGGUGAGCACAUAAAUGAAUAUGUCCCCGUCCCAUUCCCCACAUCUCAAUGGCACUUCCACUGAGAGUCUGGGAGAAACCCAGCCAAGGGUUUUGAGAGCUACCUUAGCAACUAUGUGUAACUUGCUAUAGUCCCAACUAGUCCAGCCUCAUAUUCCCCAGUCCUGGGGCCAGCAACAGGAUGCUAGGUGUCCCAGUUGUGCCAAACCCCUGGCCUGAAGAUCUCAUACUUGCCCUGGAAGCCUAGACAGGUGGAAGAGAGUUCAUGUUAGGACUACAUCAAUGAGGAUUAAAAAUCUUCCCCUUUGACUUGGCAGAUCUGCUGGGAAUUUAUCCUAUAGACACGGCAGAACACCGUGCAACAGUUAAUGAGAAUGAAGAUGGUUGUAUGUGCCAACACGUAACAUUGACUUGGCAAUGCAGAGCCAAGGUGCAGAGCCACACACGGUAUCUUACACCUCCAUGUGUGCAACAGAGCUGACUGAGAAGAGAUUCCAGAGAUCUUGGCCUUACCUGGAGAAGGCCUGCAAACUUGACCACUCCCCAGCCAAGCCGGGACACA